RNAcentral lists this small RNA (352 nucleotides) under uncultured Pseudescherichia sp. RNAcentral describes it as "cspA thermoregulator". It matches the Rfam family "cspA thermoregulator", at positions 28 to 369 of the family's 428-position model. Lineage: Bacteria; Pseudomonadati; Pseudomonadota; Gammaproteobacteria; Enterobacterales; Enterobacteriaceae. The record is from RNAcentral.
CAUUAUCAGUAAAGAAGUUCUGAGUAAACACGUUGUCGUUGAAUACUGCUUCUCUGCCGAACCUUAUUUAGUGCCUCAUGCAGUAAUGUCUCAGUUUCAUCUCGGUCAAUGCCUGCGGGCUAAGAAAACACUCUAAGGAAUUUUGCAAAUGGCAAAGAUUAAAGGUCAAGUUAAGUGGUUCAACGAGUCUAAAGGCUUUGGUUUCAUUACUCCUGCUGACGGCAGCAAAGACGUGUUCGUACACUUCUCUGCAAUCCAGGGUAACGGCUUCAAGACUCUGGCUGAAGGCCAGAACGUUGAGUUCGAAAUUCAGGACGGCCAGAAAGGCCCAGCAGCGGUUAACGUUACUGCU